AGUAACGCGUGAGGAACCUGCCUCAAAGAGGGGGACAACAGUUGGAAACGACUGCUAAUACCGCAUAAGCCCACAGCUCGGCAUCGAGCAGAGGGAAAAGGAGUGAUCCGCUUUGAGAUGGCCUCGCGUCCGAUUAGCUAGUUGGUGAGGUAAUGGCCCACCAAGGCGGCGAUCGGUAGCCGGACUGAGAGGUUGAACGGCCACAUUGGGACUGAGGCACGGCCCAG
Molecule: ribosomal RNA, 227 nt
Filed under: uncultured bacterium
Lineage: Bacteria
Description: partial 16S ribosomal RNA
Rfam family: Bacterial small subunit ribosomal RNA
Source: RNAcentral